AGUGAACGCUGGCGGUAGGCCUAACACAUGCAAGUCGAACGGCAGCACAGUAAGAGCUUGCUCUUACGGGUGGCGAGUGGCGGACGGGUGAGGAAUACAUCGGAAUCUACUUUUUCGUGGGGGAUAGCGUAGGGAAACUUACGCUAAUACCGCAUACGACCUACGGGUGAAAGCAGGGGAUCUUCGGACCUUGCGCGAUUGAAUGAGCCGAUGUCGGAUUAGCUAGUUGGCGGGGUAAAGGCCCACCAAGGCGACGAUCCGUAGCUGGUCUGAGAGGAUGAUCAGCCACACUGGAACUGAGACACGGUCCAGACUCCUACGGGAGGCAGCAGUGGGGAAUAUUGGACAAUGGGCGCAAGCCUGAUCCAGCCAGACCGCGUGGGUGAAGAAGGCCUUCGGGUUGUAAAGCCCUUUUGUUGGGAAAGAAAAGCAGCAGGUUAAUACCCCGCUGUUCUGACGGUACCCAAAGAAUAAGCACCGGCUAACUUCGUG
This 492-nucleotide ribosomal RNA is filed under the name uncultured bacterium. RNAcentral describes it as "partial 16S ribosomal RNA". It matches the Rfam family "Bacterial small subunit ribosomal RNA", at positions 29 to 507 of the family's 1533-position model. The record is from RNAcentral.